AGCUUUGCGCAGUGGCAUUAUCAUAGCCAAUGAGGUUUAUCCAAGGCAUGAUUAUUGCUGAAU
This 63-nucleotide small nuclear RNA is filed under the name Fukomys damarensis (Damara mole-rat). Its description in RNAcentral is "U4 spliceosomal RNA". It matches the Rfam family "U4 spliceosomal RNA", at positions 1 to 63 of the family's 138-position model. From Rfam's summary of the family: U4 small nuclear RNA (U4 snRNA) is a component of the major U2-dependent spliceosome. The structure of U4 snRNA from yeast and human has been reported. The record is from Rfam by way of RNAcentral. Lineage: Eukaryota; Metazoa; Chordata; Mammalia; Rodentia; Bathyergidae.